Molecule: ribosomal RNA, 396 nt
Filed under: Triticum aestivum (bread wheat)
Lineage: Eukaryota; Viridiplantae; Streptophyta; Magnoliopsida; Poales; Poaceae
Description: partial small subunit ribosomal RNA
Source: RNAcentral
AUGAUGGUACUCAUGGGGAGCUCCUGGGUGGUGAUGUGCCCUGUGAUCUCUUUAGCAGCAUCUUCGCCAUUUGUAUCUCCAUUAGAGACAGACAUUGUUUCCUUAUCUCCCAUGAACAUAAUCCCAUUUGUAUCUCCAUUAGAGACAGACAUUGUUUCCUUAUCUCCCAUGAACAUAAUCCCAGAAGCAUUGAAGGGGGGAAAUUCAGAGCGUGUAGACAUUGUUUCGGGUUCAACGUCAAUCCACUGUCCAGUCUCAUGUUUUUGCCUCCACAAAUCAAUGAACUGUGCCGUACUUACAUCAAGCGUGAAGCACCAAAACGCUCUGCGAACGAGAUCAAAUAUAUCAGGUUGUCUAUAUCAAACCCAGCAGCUACAGCACGUGCAAAGGCCAUAG